GAUGAACGCUGGCGGCGUGCUUAACACAUGCAAGUCGAACGAAGCACUUUAUUUUAUUUCCUUCGGGACUGAUUAUUUUGUGACUGAGUGGCGGACGGGUGAGUAACGCGUGGGUAACCUGCCUUGUACAGGGGGAUAACAGUUGGAAACGGCUGCUAAUACCGCAUAAGCGCACGGCAUCGCAUGAUGCAGUGUGAAAAACUCCGGUGGUAUAAGAUGGACCGGCGUUGGAUUAGCUAGUUGGUGAGGUAACGGCCCACCAAGGCGACGAUCCAUAGCCGACCUGAGAGAGUGGCCGGCGACACUGGGACUGAGACACGGCCCAAACUCCUACGGGAGGGAGCAGUGGGGAAUAUUGCACAAUGGGCGAAAGCCUGAUGCAGCGACGACGCGUGAGCGAAGAAGUAUUUCGGUAUGUAAAGCUCUAUCAGCAGGGAAGAUAAUGACGUUACCUGACUAAGAAGCACCGGCUAAAUACGUG
Molecule: ribosomal RNA, 481 nt
Filed under: uncultured bacterium
Lineage: Bacteria
Description: partial 16S ribosomal RNA
Rfam family: Bacterial small subunit ribosomal RNA
Source: RNAcentral